GACGAACGCUGGCGGCGUGCCUAACACAUGCAAGUCCAGGAGAAAGGUUUCUUCGGAGGCCUGAGUAAACUGGCGAACGGGUGAGUAGCACGUAGGUAACCUGCCCUUGGAAUUGGGAUAACACUGCUAACGCGGUGCUAAUACCGAAUAAUGCAGCGGAUCCGCAUGGAUAUGUUGUUAAAGCUGGCCUCUACUUGUAAGCUAGCGUCUAAGGAUGGACCUGCGUCCCAUUAGUUUGUUGGCGGGGUAACGGCCCACCAAGACUACGAUGGGUAGCCGGCCUGAGAGGGUGACCGGCCACACUGGGACUGAGAUACGGCCCAGACACCUACGGGUGGCAG
RNAcentral lists this ribosomal RNA (341 nucleotides) under uncultured Deferribacteres bacterium. Its description in RNAcentral is "bacterial SSU rRNA". It matches the Rfam family "Bacterial small subunit ribosomal RNA", at positions 28 to 351 of the family's 1533-position model. The record is from RNAcentral. Lineage: Bacteria; Pseudomonadati; Deferribacterota; Deferribacteres.